Molecule: ribosomal RNA, 449 nt
Filed under: uncultured bacterium
Lineage: Bacteria
Description: bacterial SSU rRNA
Rfam family: Bacterial small subunit ribosomal RNA
Source: RNAcentral
UGGGGAAUCUUGGACAAUGGGCGCAAGCCUGAUCCAGCCAUGCCGCGUGAGUGAAGAAGGCCUUCGGGUUGUAAAAGCUCUUUUACCAGGGACGAUAAUGACGGUACCUGGAGAAUAAGCCCCGGCAAACUUCGUGCCAGCAGCCGCGGUAAUACGAAGGGGGCUAGCGUUGUUCGGAAUUACUGGGCGUAAAGCGCACGUAGGCGGAUUGUUAAGUCAGAGGUGAAAUCCCGGAGCUCAACUUCGGAACUGCCUUUGAUACUGGCAAUCUCGAGUCCGGAAGAGGUUAGUGGAAUUCCCAGUGUAGAGGUGAAAUUCGUAGAUAUUGGGAAGAACACCAGUGGCGAAGGCGGCUAACUGGUCCGGUACUGACGCUGAGGUGCGAAAGCUAGGGGAGCAAACGGGAUUAGAUACCCAUCGUAGUCCCUGAGCGGGCUGGCAAGGCGCAU